UGGGUGAUCUACUCUUUGGUGGGGAAUAACCCUGGGAAACCGGGGCUAAUACCGCAUAAGCCCCCAAGUCAAAUUGGGGGGAAAGGUGCAAAUCGCCGAAGAAGGAGCCCGCGUCUGAUUAGCUAGUUGGUGAGGUAACGGCUCACCAAGGCGACGAUCAGUAGCUGGUCUGAGAGGAUGAUCAGCCUCAUUGGGACUGAGACACGGCCCAAACUCCUACGGGAGGCAG
This 229-nucleotide ribosomal RNA is filed under the name uncultured bacterium. Its description in RNAcentral is "partial 16S ribosomal RNA". It matches the Rfam family "Bacterial small subunit ribosomal RNA", at positions 118 to 351 of the family's 1533-position model. The record is from RNAcentral.